GAUGAACGCUGGCGGCGUGCCUAAUACAUGCAAGUCGAGCGAACGGACGAGAAGCUUGCUUCUCUGAUGUUAGCGGCGGACGGGUGAGUAACACGUGGAUCACCUACCUAUAAGACUGGGAUAACUUCGGGAAACCGGAGCUAAUACCAGAUAAUAUUUUGAACCGCAUGGUUCAAAAGUGAAAGACGGUCUUGCUGUCUCUUUUAGAUGGACCCGCGCUGCAUUAGCUAGUUGGUAAGGUAACGCCUUACCAAGGCAACGAUGCAUAGCCGACCGGAGAGGUGGAUCGGCAACACUGGAACUGAGACACGGUCCAGACCCCUACGGGAGGCAGCAGGAGGGAAUCUGCCGCAAGGGGCGAAAGCCUGACCGAGCAACGCCGCGUGAGUGAGGAAGGUCUUCGGUUCGUAAAACUCUGUUAUUAGGGAAGAACAUAUGUGUAAGUAACUGUGCACAUCUUGACGGUACCAAAUCAGAAAGCCCCGGCUAACUACGG
Molecule: ribosomal RNA, 496 nt
Filed under: uncultured bacterium
Lineage: Bacteria
Description: partial 16S ribosomal RNA
Rfam family: Bacterial small subunit ribosomal RNA
Source: RNAcentral